GACGAACGCUGGCGGCGCGCCUAACACAUGCAAGUCGAACGAGCGAGAGAGAGCUUGCUUUCUCGAGCGAGUGGCGAACGGGUGAGUAACGCGUGAGGAACCUGCCUCAAAGAGGGGGACAACAGUUGGAAACGACUGCUAAAUACCGCAUAAGCCCACGGCUCGGCAUCGAGCAGAGGGAAAAGGAGCAAUCCGCUUUGAGAUGGCCUCGCGUCCGAUUAGCUAGUUGGUGAGGUAACGGCCCACCAAGGCGACGAUCGGUAGCCGGACUGAGAGGUUGAACGGCCACAUUGGGACUGAGACACGGCCCAAAACUCCUACGGGAGGCAGCAGUGGGAUAUUGCACAAUGGGGGAAACCCUGAUGCAGCGACGCCGCGUGAGUGAAG
Molecule: ribosomal RNA, 387 nt
Filed under: uncultured bacterium
Lineage: Bacteria
Description: bacterial SSU rRNA
Rfam family: Bacterial small subunit ribosomal RNA
Source: RNAcentral